CGGGGGGAGCAAGCGUUGUUCGGAUUUACUGGGCGUAAAGGGCGCGUAGGCGGCCACCGCAAGUCAAUUGUGAAAUCUCCGGGCUUAACUCGGAAAGGUCAACUGAUACUGCGGGGCUAGAGUGCAGAAGGGGCAACUGGAAUUCUCGGUGUAGCGGUGAAAUGCGUAGAUAUCGAGAGGAACACCUGCGGCGAAGGCGGGUUGCUGGGCUGACACUGACGCUGAGGCGCGAAAGCUAGGGGAGCGAACGGGAUUAGAUACCCCGGUAGUCCUAGCCUUAAACGAUGAAUGCUUGGUGUCUGGGUUAUAAAGUCCCGGUGCCGUCGCUAACGCUUUAAGCAUUCCGCCUGGGAGUACGGUCGCAAGACUG
RNAcentral lists this ribosomal RNA (370 nucleotides) under uncultured organism. Its description in RNAcentral is "bacterial SSU rRNA". It matches the Rfam family "Bacterial small subunit ribosomal RNA", at positions 526 to 896 of the family's 1533-position model. The record is from RNAcentral.